This 801-nucleotide ribosomal RNA is filed under the name Salmonella enterica subsp. enterica serovar Schwarzengrund. RNAcentral describes it as "partial 23S ribosomal RNA". It matches the Rfam family "Bacterial large subunit ribosomal RNA", at positions 2002 to 2802 of the family's 2925-position model. Lineage: Bacteria; Pseudomonadati; Pseudomonadota; Gammaproteobacteria; Enterobacterales; Enterobacteriaceae. The record is from RNAcentral.
UAAUGAUGGCCAGGCUGUCUCCACCCGAGACUCAGUGAAAUUGAACUCGCUGUGAAGAUGCAGUGUACCCGCGGCAAGACGGAAAGACCCCGUGAACCUUUACUAUAGCUUGACACUGAACAUUGAGCCUUGAUGUGUAGGAUAGGUGGGAGGCUUUGAAGUGUGGACGCCAGUCUGCAUGGAGCCGGCCUUGAAAUACCACCCUUUAAUGUUUGAUGUUCUAACGUGGACCCGUGAUCCGGGUUGCGGACAGUGUCUGGUGGGUAGUUUGACUGGGGCGGUCUCCUCCUAAAGAGUAACGGAGGAGCACGAAGGUUGGCUAAUCCUGGUCGGACAUCAGGAGGUUAGUGCAAUGGCAUAAGCCAGCUUGACUGCGAGCGUGACGGCGCGAGCAGGUGCGAAAGCAGGUCAUAGUGAUCCGGUGGUUCUGAAUGGAAGGGCCAUCGCUCAACGGAUAAAAGGUACUCCGGGGAUAACAGGCUGAUACCGCCCAAGAGUUCAUAUCGACGGCGGUGUUUGGCACCUCGAUGUCGGCUCAUCACAUCCUGGGGCUGAAGUAGGUCCCAAGGGUAUGGCUGUUCGCCAUUUAAAGUGGUACGCGAGCUGGGUUUAGAACGUCGUGAGACAGUUCGGUCCCUAUCUGCCGUGGGCGCUGGAGAACUGAGGGGGGCUGCUCCUAGUACGAGAGGACCGGAGUGGACGCAUCACUGGUGUUCGGGUUGUCAUGCCAAUGGCACUGCCCGGUAGCUAAAUGCGGAAGAGAUAAGUGCUGAAAGCAUCUAAGCACGAAACUUGCCCCGA